RNAcentral lists this unclassified non-coding RNA (1512 nucleotides) under Hevea brasiliensis (rubber tree). The record is from RNAcentral. Lineage: Eukaryota; Viridiplantae; Streptophyta; Magnoliopsida; Malpighiales; Euphorbiaceae.
UAAUGGAACUCCACUUUUGGUUUUCUUGGUGGCAGAAGAGGAAGUGGAGCCUCGCCUUUAAGAAUCUUAGCAGCCCUCUUAACUGUUGGCCUAUGCUCAUGAUUUGAGUGCACACAACAAAGUCCCACCAUCAGCAUCCUCUCCAUCUCCACUUCAUUAAACUUCCCUUCCAACUUUGCAUCGGCAGCCUGAAUCAGUUUCCCUUUCUCCCAGAAACUCCACACCGACUCAACAAGCACUGUACCAUCAUCUUCUACAGGCCUUCUUCCAGUGGCCAACUCUAGCACUACCACACCAAAGCUGUAAACAUCAGUUUUCACUGAUGGAACACCAGAAUAAACAUACUCAGGAGCAAGAUACCCCAUUGUCCCUGCUGGUAUAGUAGCUUCUCUUGUCUUAGUACUAUGUUCGUAUACUUCUGCUAAGCCAAAAUCUCCCAGUUUCGCAUUGAAUUCUUCAUCAAGCAUUAUAUUGCAUGACUUUACAUCUCUAUGAAUUAUCUGUCUCUCACAUUCAUCAUGUAGAUAUGAAAGAGCAUAAGCAACUCCAAGAACUACAUUUAACCUUUGCUUCCAGGAAAGGCAAAUUGUAGAACCAGUAGUGUUGUGAAGGAUUCUGUCAAGGCUUCCAUUGGGCAAGUAUUCAUAAACUAGGACUAAUUCUUCUCCCUCACAGCACCAUCCUUGAAGUUGAACCAAGUUAUUGUGUCUCAAGCAACCCACCAUUGUUGCAAACUCAGUGAUGAAUGGAUUGCGAAAACAGUCGAUCUCCCCCUUGUUGAAUCUCUUAAUAGCCACUGCUCCUGUAGAUGGAAGAGACCCUUUAUAAAUUGUAGCUGAAGCUCCUUCACCAACAACUCUGUUUCUGUGAAACCCCAUAGUAGCUGACUUUAUCUCAGCAAUUGAAAAUCUUGUUGGUCCUCUUUGGCCUCUACCGAUUUGGACCUUUCUCUUUCUUCUGCCAAUACCUCUCUUUUUCCUCAUAACAAAGAAAAUUACUGUCGCCAUGGAGAGGACGAAAGCAGCUAAACCUCCCAACCCCAAAGCAAUCUCUCGCAUAUUGGUUCUUUUCUCAUUAAGAUCACUAGGGGUGCUGUUGCCAUUGACACCUGAAUCCUCAGAAUAGCACAUUAAACAGUCCCCUCCUUCAGUUGUAUCCAUAGGACUCACAGAAGGGGGAGAACCGUAAGUUUUGAAUCGCCAAUGAUCAACAAUAUGAAAGGCUGAGCCUUGCCCAUUGGAAGCCGAGAAACCAACAUGCAUAUAUUCCUUGACAUACUCAGAGAGAUCAAUCCGUGCCUGGAGAACAGGAUUUGAAGGCCUAAUUUGGGAGUAACUAACCCACACCUGAACCAACUUAGUGGCAUCUGUGUAUUCAACCCAAGCAGUUAUCUGCCUUCCACUUUUCAGAUCAAUCCCUUCUUCGACAGCAUCAACUGAAGCAAAAGAUACAACUGUAUUGACAUCAAUUCCAAUGUGAUUACUGCUGAUAUCAGAAAGAGAAAGAUCAGAA